UGCCGGCGGGAGGCAGCUCUGAUUGGCUGGCGGCUCCAGGGUGCCGUUAGCUGGAGACGCCCCUCGGGCCAGGGGACACACCCACAAGUCUGGAAGCGGGAGAAGCGGCCGUGUCUGUGCGCCAGCGCCGGACUUUUCGGCUCUGUUCGCGCCGUCCCAGCUCGGCUCCGAUCUUACAGCCACAGGGACUGAAGACCUGGGUAAUGCAGAAUGUGGCGGGGCACUGGACUGCGCCUGCCUCCGAGGACCAAGGACCCUCCCUCCCUGCCGGAGCCUCAGGUGGAAGUGGGCGGAGUCCCUGCCCUGGAGGGGCUGAAUCAUUGUUUAUAUGGAAAUAUGCCUGAUUUUUGAGUGUUAAUUGUGUAUCCUGCAACUUGGCUGAAUCCUGUUUUAGUUUUGACAGUUUUCUGGUGGAUUUUUCUACUUAAAUGAUGUCAUCUAUGAACACAGAUCAUUUUACUUCUUC
This is a long non-coding RNA of Acinonyx jubatus (cheetah), 466 nucleotides long. RefSeq lists it as uncharacterized. The record is from RefSeq and is a predicted model, not a curated record. NCBI's taxonomy places the organism in Eukaryota, Metazoa, Chordata, Mammalia, Carnivora, Felidae. The transcript is spliced from 3 exons.